AAUUACAGAGCUAUGCUGUUCU
RNAcentral lists this microRNA (22 nucleotides) under Heligmosomoides polygyrus. Its description in RNAcentral is "hpo-miR-10154-3p". The record is from miRBase by way of RNAcentral. Lineage: Eukaryota; Metazoa; Nematoda; Chromadorea; Rhabditida; Heligmosomidae.